GUUGUAAAAACGAUAUUUUUCUUU
RNAcentral lists this small nuclear RNA (24 nucleotides) under Arabidopsis thaliana (thale cress). RNAcentral describes it as "snRNA_12399". The record is from RNAcentral. Lineage: Eukaryota; Viridiplantae; Streptophyta; Magnoliopsida; Brassicales; Brassicaceae.